This 727-nucleotide unclassified non-coding RNA is filed under the name Hevea brasiliensis (rubber tree). The record is from RNAcentral. Lineage: Eukaryota; Viridiplantae; Streptophyta; Magnoliopsida; Malpighiales; Euphorbiaceae.
ACCAAUAUCUUCAUAGAGUUCAGGGUGGGUCAGAGGAAGCUCAACAGCUUCUUUGAUUUCUUGAAUUUGUGCAUCCAGCCCACCAAUAUCAGCAUAGGACUCCAGAGGAGCCUUCUCUACUUUCAUCACACUGACCAUAGGAUCAACUUCGUCUUGCAGAAGCCCCACAACAGAGAGAACCUUGUUAUGCAUUAGUAUAGCGCAUCCAGGCUCCAACUGAUCCUUAUCAACAAAGGAGAGUAUAUUCACAUAAUACUCCGGCCCGACCGACGACGACACAAUAGCAUGAUUCUCAUCAAUGAUCUCCUCCAGAUUCCCGACGCUCAUCGGAGAUCCACGCAGAUCAUCAACCUUGGAACGAUCCUCCUCGUUCUUAUCCUCAUGAGGGCGCAGCCGCUCCUGGUUCGCCACAAACUCCUCCUCCAUCAAGAGAUAAUCCUUGAUCCGUUCAAGCUUGAGGAGGCGCAGCUUGCACUUGGAGAGCGGCGUCACGGUGGGGAGCCUCGCCGCGGCUUCCGAGCCCUUCUGCUUGCGCUGCUUGCGGCCAACGCGCGACGGCGCCGCCGGCGGCUCGAAUUUCUUCUCCUUCUUAUCGCCGCCGUCGGGCUUGCGAUCGCCGGGGAGUCCUUUGCCCAUGCCGCCGGGGGUGCCUUGGCCCAUGAUCGCCGGAGUGGGGGGUCGUCGGAGAUGGGGAUCGGUUAGGGUUAGGGCUGCGCUAGGGUUACAG